Molecule: long non-coding RNA, 2764 nt
Filed under: Nicotiana benthamiana
Lineage: Eukaryota; Viridiplantae; Streptophyta; Magnoliopsida; Solanales; Solanaceae
Description: long non-coding RNA (NBEN_LNC034172)
Source: RNAcentral
UUACUUGCUGAAGAAGCGCGUUCUCCAUCUCAGGACUCAGCUGCACAUCGACAAAAUAAACCUUUUGCGUCUCAAACUGAAGGUAAAACUAAUGAUUAGUUUUUAACCUAACCAAGUGAAAAAUAAAGUUGUGGAUAUUACUGCUGGGGGUCUAGGAGGCUGAUUGCCGGCAUCCAUCUGGCCAGGGAUCAGUGGUGGUCCGGGAAAUUGUAUUCCUGGUGAAUUCUCUGGUCGACCAGGAAUCCACGCAGAUCCUCUAUCUGCUUGUGUGAAACUCCCAACUUGAUUGAAGUCUGUCCGCAAUAGUGAACCUCCCAUCUAUAUACACUCAAAUACAAGAGCAUGUCAAAGCCCAUAGAUCACAGGUGUUGAACACAAAUAAAAAAUGUACCCACGAAUUAUUUCCCUCCGGAAAACAACAACAACUACCCAGUAAACUCCCACCAAGUGGGGUCUGGGAAGGGUAAUGAAAUGCCAUGAAAUAUUUCCCUCUGGAAACAACAACAACAACAACAACCCAGUAUAAUCCCACUUAGUGGGGUCUGGGGAGGGUAGUAUGUACGCAGACCUUACCCCUGCUCUGGGGUAGAGAGGCUGUUUCCAAAUAGACCCCCGCAUCCUUCCCUCCAAAAACUUCCAACCUUGCUUUUGGGGAGACUCGAACUCACAACCUCUCGGUUGGAAGUGGGGGUUGCUUACCAUCAGAGCAACCCCUCUGGAAACAUUAUACUAAUAACUUAUCUAGUAUAUUGCUAUGAAAUGCCAUGUUACAGAAAAAUGAUUGAAAAUGAGUAACUAGCUACAGUUUAUCAAGGUUGAUUACAAGAUACCACUCUAUCCUCCUCAUCUAUGCAAUAGUUAACAGAAAAGUGAAACACACGGUCAAAACUUUUUCCUAAUCAGGCAGACACAGUCAAACAUUGGGGACUCGAGUAGAAAAUUUGACAAAAUAUUCAACCGGUUGCCUUUGAAAGCAAAAAUAUGCACUAAAUACAAGCAAGAAACAGCAAAGAAAACAGGAAUAAAUUUGCGAAAAGACAGUUUAUUAAUAAAGCCCUAUAGCUGUCUAUGUAACUGCUCUAUUGUGAAAAUAACAUUGCUUUUGAACUUUGAUUGAAGCUCAACUUACAAAAAUAGAUACGCUUCAACUUCUCCCAUGUUUUACUUGAACCUAGAUGCAAGGUAUGUAGCGCGGACUCUCCAAAAUAUUGCCGCACCCGUGUCGGAUUCUUCAAAAAUACACUACUUUUGGAGUAUCCGACACGCACCCGACAAUAUUUUCGGGGAGUCUGAGCAACAUAGGAUGCAAGUUAUACAAGUACAUCUGAAAUACAAGUAAAGGAAUGCAGAGUGUGUGUGUAUCUACAGUCCUUAGGUAGAAUUUGUCUGGUAUAGGAACACAUUGCAUCACAACAAGAAAUUAAUUUAUAAGUCACAAAGUCCAAUAAUAGCAUGGUUUAUCCAACCUAUCUAUGCCAGUUAUUAUUAUACUUUGGUCUUCGUAAUUAUCCACUGAAAAUUCCAAAGGUCUUCAGCAGCUGUCUCCAAUUGACAACUCUAAAUGCAUGAAGAUGAAUAAAGUAAAUACAACAACUACUACCACCACGCCACAAUCCCAAGCAAGUCGAGUUAAGUUAUUUGAACCUUCCCGUCCAUGUUAUUUUAUUUAAGUCUGUCUGGUUUCAACAUUAAUAAAUUUCAGUUUCUUUAGCAUUAAAAGUUCUUUAUAUUUACUAACAUAACAAACUUAAUCCUACCUAAUUGCUAUUGCCUAUAUAGAUCUUUUUCUUCAUUAUGCCAUAUAUUUUCUCUAGGUGUGCAUGAACUCCAGGAGAUUGCAGGUCCUCUGGGACAACUCUCCUGUAUGCGAUUUUAGGUAUACCUCAUUCUUUUUAACACAUCUAAUCAUCAUGGUUUCACACCUACAUGCUAGUGUAAAUGGAUGUUGAUGUAGUAUAUGAUCAAACCAAUUUUCUAAGAAGUCAUCACUUUGUCACUUAAGGUGAUAAGCGUUGCGGGGGNNNNNNNNNNNNNNNNNNNNNNNNNNNNNNNNNNNNNNNNNNNNNNNNNNNNNNNNNNNNNNNNNNNNNNNNNNNNNNNNNNNNNNNNNNAUGAGUCACAUGUUUAAUAUCAGCAUUAUUAUAUAUUAUAUGUUGAAUAUUAGUUAUGUAAUUGUGAUUUGAUUAUUAUAGUACUAAACUGAUAUAUUUUUGGUAUUUUUUUUCUAAAAAAAUUCACUCUUACUUCAAAAGAGUGUGCACUUCACUUCAAGUCCCAAAGACCACGUUGCUUUUUUCUUUUUUAAAAACGUUUUUCCCUCGUAAAAACACUGGACUGAACAAUCCCAAGUGACUUUUUCUUAUUUUAUCAACUAAGUGCUUUACCUGCACCGUCGGCAUGAUCAUUUUUAAUCCACCUUAACAAUUGCAAUUUUGUAACACAUAUCUUGUGGAUAUUUUAGACUUUAGAGGCCCGAUCUUUACUUACACAAUAUUGUUGUUGGUCUUAACAAUCGUUUGAUAGAACUUGUCUUUUACUUUGGUAGGAAUCAUUCUAUCAGAUAACACUUUAAUAACACCUCUCCAAUUUAACCACCUUAUUCAGAUUCUAUGUGUAUUAACAUCAUCUAUCAAACAUCUAUCAGGGACGUGAUGAUUGGAUCACAGGUCAUCGACAAGAGGGACAGUGUCAGAUAUCUUGGGUCAGUGAUUCAGGGGGACGGAGAGAUUGACGGGGACGUCACUCAUCGCAUAGGAGCGGGNNN